Molecule: ribosomal RNA, 460 nt
Filed under: uncultured bacterium
Lineage: Bacteria
Description: partial 16S ribosomal RNA
Rfam family: Bacterial small subunit ribosomal RNA
Source: RNAcentral
CCUACGAGCGGCUGCAGCGAGGAAUAUUGGUCAAUGGGCGCGAGCCUGAACCAGCCAAGUAGCGUGAAGGAUGACUGCCCUACGGGUUGUAAACUUCUUUUAUAAAGGAAUAAAGUGAGGCACGUGUGCCUUUUUGUAUGUACUUUAUGAAUAAGGAUCGGCUAACUCCGUGCCAGCAGCCGCGGUAAUACGGAGGAUCCGAGCGUUAUCCGGAUUUAUUGGGUUUAAAGGGAGCGUAGAUGGGUUGUUAAGUCAGUUGUGAAAGUUUGCGGCUAAACCGUAAAAUUGCAAUUGAAACUUGCAGUCUUGAGUACAGUUGAGGUAGGCGGAAUUCGUGGUGUAGCGGUGAAAUGCUUAGAUAUCACGAAGAACUCCGAUUGCGAAGGCAGCUUACUAAACUGCCACUGACAUUGAUGCUCGAAAGUGUGGGUAUCAAACAGGAUUAGAUACCCCUGUAGUC